This 311-nucleotide ribosomal RNA is filed under the name uncultured bacterium. RNAcentral describes it as "bacterial SSU rRNA". It matches the Rfam family "Bacterial small subunit ribosomal RNA", at positions 505 to 796 of the family's 1533-position model. The record is from RNAcentral.
GUGUCAGCAGCCGCGGUAAUACAGAGGGCGCGAGCGUUGUCCGGAAUCACUGGGCGUAAAGGGCGCGUAGGUGGCGGCAUAAGGCUGUGGUGAAAGUCCGGGGCUCAACUCCGGAUCGGCCGUGGCAACUGUGUCGCUAGGGCACCGUAGAGGCAGAUGGAAUUCCGGGUGUAGCGGUGGAAUGCGUAGAGAUCCGGAAGAACACCAGUGGCGAAGGCGGUCUGCUGGGCGGUGGAGUCGCAAGACUCCGGAAGCCGACACUGAGGCGCGACAGCGUGGGGAGCAAACAGGAUUAGAUACCCUCGUAGUCC